CUUUCUACGGAGUACAACCUACGUUAUGGAAAAAAAAUAUUUGUAUCCAGUUUUGAGAGAUUUAUCUCUCGGUUCUUUGAAAACUGAAUAUCGACAUUGAUAUAUUAAUUAAUAUUUCAAAGUUUAGAUCAACCAUAGAAUAUUUAUAUUUUAUAAGACAAACAAUAGGUCAUACAAUUAACAAAACU
Molecule: unclassified non-coding RNA, 188 nt
Filed under: Metamycoplasma hominis
Lineage: Bacteria; Bacillati; Mycoplasmatota; Mycoplasmoidales; Metamycoplasmataceae
Description: Mycoplasma hominis 16S-23S ribosomal RNA intergenic spacer
Source: RNAcentral